GACGAACGCUGGCGGCGUGCUUAACACAUGCAAGUCGAACGGAAAGGCCCUGCUUUUGUGGGGUGCUCGAGUGGCGAACGGGUGAGUAACACGUGAGUAACCUGCCCUUUACUUUGGGAUAACUUCAGUAAACUGGGGCUAAUACCGGAUAUGAGCUCCUUCUGCAUGGUGGGUGUUUGAAAGUUUCGGCGGUUGGGGAUGGACUCGCGGCUUAUCAGCUUGUUGGUGGGGUAGUGGCUUACCAAGGCUUUGACGGGUAGCCGGACUGAGAGGGUGACAGGCCACAUUGGGAAUGAGAAACGGCCCAGACUCAUACGGGAGGAAGCAGUGGGGAAUAGUGCAAAAUGGGCGGAAGCCUGAUGCAGCAACGCCGCGUGCGGGAUGACGGCCUUCGGGUUGUAAACCGCGUUCGCCUGUGAAGAAGAGUGAGUGACGGUAAUGGGUAAAGAAGCAACGGCUAACUACGUG
This 468-nucleotide ribosomal RNA is filed under the name uncultured bacterium. RNAcentral's name for it is "partial 16S ribosomal RNA". It matches the Rfam family "Bacterial small subunit ribosomal RNA", at positions 28 to 507 of the family's 1533-position model. The record is from RNAcentral.